This 74-nucleotide transfer RNA is filed under the name Dispira parvispora. It matches the Rfam family "tRNA". Rfam says of the family: Transfer RNA (tRNA) molecules are approximately 80 nucleotides in length. Their secondary structure includes four short double-helical elements and three loops (D, anti-codon, and T loops). Further hydrogen bonds mediate the characteristic L-shaped molecular structure. tRNAs have two regions of fundamental functional importance: the anti-codon, which is responsible for specific mRNA codon recognition, and the 3' end, to which the tRNAs corresponding amino acid is attached (by aminoacyl-tRNA synthetases). tRNAs cope with the degeneracy of the genetic code in two manners: having more than one tRNA (with a specific anti-codon) for a particular amino acid; and 'wobble' base-pairing, i.e. permitting non-standard base-pairing at the 3rd anti-codon position. Lineage: Eukaryota; Fungi; Kickxellomycota; Dimargaritomycetes; Dimargaritales; Dimargaritaceae. The record is from Rfam by way of RNAcentral.
GGUUUCGUGGCGUAGUUGGUUAUCGCGUCUGCCUUACACGCAGAAGGUCGCCGGUUCGAGCCCGGCUGAAACCA